This 2904-nucleotide ribosomal RNA is filed under the name Yersinia pestis. RNAcentral's name for it is "bacterial LSU rRNA". It matches the Rfam family "Bacterial large subunit ribosomal RNA". The record is from RNAcentral. Lineage: Bacteria; Pseudomonadati; Pseudomonadota; Gammaproteobacteria; Enterobacterales; Yersiniaceae.
UUAAGCGACUAAGCGUACACGGUGGAUGCCUAGGCAGUCAGAGGCGAUGAAGGGCGUGCUAAUCUGCGAAAAGCGUCGGUAAGCUGAUAUGAAGCGUUAUAACCGACGAUACCCGAAUGGGGAAACCCAGUGCAAUACGUUGCACUAUCGUUAGAUGAAUACAUAGUCUAACGAGGCGAACCGGGGGAACUGAAACAUCUAAGUACCCCGAGGAAAAGAAAUCAACCGAGAUUCCCCCAGUAGCGGCGAGCGAACGGGGAGGAGCCCAGAGUCUGAAUCAGUUUGUGUGUUAGUGGAAGCGUCUGGAAAGUCGCACGGUACAGGGUGAUAGUCCCGUACACCAAAAUGCACAGGCUGUGAACUCGAUGAGUAGGGCGGGACACGUGACAUCCUGUCUGAAUAUGGGGGGACCAUCCUCCAAGGCUAAAUACUCCUGACUGACCGAUAGUGAACCAGUACCGUGAGGGAAAGGCGAAAAGAACCCCGGCGAGGGGAGUGAAAUAGAACCUGAAACCGUGUACGUACAAGCAGUGGGAGCACCUUCGUGGUGUGACUGCGUACCUUUUGUAUAAUGGGUCAGCGACUUAUAUUUUGUAGCAAGGUUAACCGAAUAGGGGAGCCGUAGGGAAACCGAGUCUUAACUGGGCGUCUAGUUGCAAGGUAUAGACCCGAAACCCGGUGAUCUAGCCAUGGGCAGGUUGAAGGUUGGGUAACACUAACUGGAGGACCGAACCGACUAAUGUUGAAAAAUUAGCGGAUGACUUGUGGCUGGGGGUGAAAGGCCAAUCAAACCGGGAGAUAGCUGGUUCUCCCCGAAAGCUAUUUAGGUAGCGCCUCGUGAACUCAUCUUCGGGGUAGAGCACUGUUUCGGCUAGGGGGCCAUCCCGGCUUACCAAACCGAUGCAAACUCCGAAUACCGAAGAAUGUUAUCACGGGAGACACACGGCGGGUGCUAACGUCCGUCGUGAAGAGGGAAACAACCCAGACCGCCAGCUAAGGUCCCAAAGUCAUGGUUAAGUGGGAAACGAUGUGGGAAGGCACAGACAGCCAGGAUGUUGGCUUAGAAGCAGCCAUCAUUUAAAGAAAGCGUAAUAGCUCACUGGUCGAGUCGGCCUGCGCGGAAGAUGUAACGGGGCUAAACCAUGCACCGAAGCUGCGGCAGCGACACUUAGGUGUUGUUGGGUAGGGGAGCGUUCUGUAAGCCGUUGAAGGUGACCUGUGAGGGUUGCUGGAGGUAUCAGAAGUGCGAAUGCUGACAUAAGUAACGAUAAUGCGGGUGAAAAACCCGCACGCCGGAAGACCAAGGGUUCCUGUCCAACGUUAAUCGGGGCAGGGUGAGUCGACCCCUAAGGCGAGGCUGAAAAGCGUAGUCGAUGGGAAACAGGUUAAUAUUCCUGUACUUGGUGUUACUGCGAAGGGGGGACGGAGAAGGCUAGGCUGGCCGGGCGACGGUUGUCCCGGUUUAAGCGUGUAGGGGGAGUGACCAGGUAAAUCCGGUUGCUUAUCAACCCUGAGGCGUGAUGACGAUGCACCACGGUGCAGAAGCAGUUGAUGCCAUGCUUCCAGGAAAAGCCUCUAAGCAUCAGGUAACAUUAAAUCGUACCCCAAACCGACACAGGUGGUCAGGUAGAGAAUACUCAGGCGCUUGAGAGAACUCGGGUGAAGGAACUAGGCAAAAUGGUGCCGUAACUUCGGGAGAAGGCACGCUGGCGUUAGGUGAAAGGACUAGCUCCUGGAGCUGAAGCCAGUCGCAGAUACCAGCUGGCUGCAACUGUUUAAUAAAAACACAGCACUGUGCAAACACGAAAGUGGACGUAUACGGUGUGACGCCUGCCCGGUGCUGGAAGGUUAAUUGAUGGGGUCAGCCGCAAGGCGAAGCUCUUGAUCGAAGCCCCAGUAAACGGCGGCCGUAACUAUAACGGUCCUAAGGUAGCGAAAUUCCUUGUCGGGUAAGUUCCGACCUGCACGAAUGGCGUAAUGAUGGCCAGGCUGUCUCCACCCGAGACUCAGUGAAAUUGAACUCGCUGUGAAGAUGCAGUGUACCCGCGGCAAGACGGAAAGACCCCGUGAACCUUUACUAUAGCUUGACACUGAACAUUGAGCCUUGAUGUGUAGGAUAGGUGGGAGGCCUUGAAGUGUGGACGCCAGUCUGCAUGGAGCCAACCUUGAAAUACCACCCUUUAAUGUUUGAUGUUCUAACUCGGCCCCAUGAUCUGGGGUGAGGACAGUGUCUGGUGGGUAGUUUGACUGGGGCGGUCUCCUCCCAAAGAGUAACGGAGGAGCACGAAGGUUAGCUAAUCACGGUCGGACAUCGUGAGGUUAGUGCAAAGGCAUAAGCUAGCUUGACUGCGAGAGUGACGGCUCGAGCAGGUACGAAAGUAGGUCUUAGUGAUCCGGUGGUUCUGAAUGGAAGGGCCAUCGCUCAACGGAUAAAAGGUACUCCGGGGAUAACAGGCUGAUACCGCCCAAGAGUUCAUAUCGACGGCGGUGUUUGGCACCUCGAUGUCGGCUCAUCACAUCCUGGGGCUGAAGUAGGUCCCAAGGGUAUGGCUGUUCGCCAUUUAAAGUGGUACGCGAGCUGGGUUUAGAACGUCGUGAGACAGUUCGGUCCCUAUCUGCCGUGGGCGUUGGAAGAUUGAGAGGGGCUGCUCCUAGUACGAGAGGACCGGAGUGGACGAAUCACUGGUGUUCGGGUUGUCAUGCCAAUGGCAUUGCCCGGUAGCUAAAUUCGGAAGAGAUAACCGCUGAAAGCAUCUAAGCGGGAAACUUGCCUCGAGAUGAGUCUUCCCUGGGGCUUAAAGCCCCCUGAAGGAACGUUAAAGACUAUGACGUUGAUAGGCUGGGUGUGUAAGUGCAGCGAUGUAUUGAGCUAACCAGUACUAAUGAUCCGUGAGGCUUAACCUU